Molecule: ribosomal RNA, 253 nt
Filed under: uncultured bacterium
Lineage: Bacteria
Description: partial 16S ribosomal RNA
Rfam family: Bacterial small subunit ribosomal RNA
Source: RNAcentral
UACGUAGGGGGCAAGCGUUGUCCGGAAUCAUUGGGCGUAAAGAGCGUGUAGGCGUCCCGGUAAGUCCGCUGUGAAAGUCCAGGGCUCAACCCUGGGAUGCCGGUGGAUACUGUCGGGCUCGAGUCCGGAAGAGGAGUGUGGAAUUCCUGGUGUAGCGGUGAAAUGCGCAGAUAUCAGGAGGAACACCAAUGGCGAAGGCAGCACUCUGGGACGUGACUGACGCUGAGACGCGAAAGCGUGGGGAGCAAACAGG